Molecule: ribosomal RNA, 995 nt
Filed under: uncultured bacterium
Lineage: Bacteria
Description: bacterial SSU rRNA
Rfam family: Bacterial small subunit ribosomal RNA
Source: RNAcentral
GGGGAAUAUUGCACAAUGGGGGAAACCCUGAUGCAGCGACGCCGCGUGGAGGAAGAAGGUCUUCGGAUUGUAAACUCCUGUUGUUGAGGAAGAUAAUGACGGUACUCAACAAGGAAGUGACGGCUAACUACGUGCCAGCAGCCGCGGUAAAACGUAGGUCACAAGCGUUGUCCGGAAUUACUGGGUGUAAAGGGAGCGCAGGCGGGAAGACAAGUUGGAAGUGAAAUCCAUGGGCUCAACCCAUGAACUGCUUUCAAAACUGUUUUUCUUGAGUAGUGCAGAGGUAGGCGGAAUUCCCGGUGUAGCGGUGGAAUGCGUAGAUAUCGGGAGGAACACCAGUGGCGAAGGCGGCCUACUGGGCACCAACUGACGCUGAGGCUCGAAAGUGUGGGUAGCAAACAGGAUUAGAUACCCUGGUAGUCCACACUGUAAACGAUGAUUACUAGGUGUUGGAGGAUUGACCCCUUCAGUGCCGCAGUUAACACAAUAAGUAAUCCACCUGGGGAGUACGACCGCAAGGUUGAAACUCAAAGGAAUUGACGGGGGCCCGCACAAGCAGUGGAGUAUGUGGUUUAAUUCGACGCAACGCGAAGAACCUUACCAAGUCUUGACAUCCUGCGACGGACAUAGAAAUAUGUUUUUCCUUCGGGACGCAGAGACAGGUGGUGCAUGGUUGUCGUCAGCUCGUGUCGUGAGAUGUUGGGUUAAGUCCCGCAACGAGCGCAACCCUUACUGUCAGUUACUACGCAAGAGGACUCUGGCAGGACUGCCGUUGACAAAACGGAGGAAGGUGGGGAUGACGUCAAAUCAUCAUGCCCUUUAUGACUUGGGCUACACACGUACUACAAUGGCGUUAAACAAAGAGAAGCAAGACCGCGAGGUGGAGCAAAACUCAGAAACAACGUCCCAGUUCGGACUGCAGGCUGCAACUCGCCUGCACGAAGUCGGAAUUGCUAGUAAUCGUAGAUCAGCAUGCUACGGUGAAUACGUUCCCG